AGUUUGAUCAUGGCUCAGGACGAACGCUGGCGGCGUGCUUAACACAUGCAAGUCGAACGAUGAACCUCCUUCGGGAGGGGAUUAGUGGCGAACGGGUGAGUAACACGUGGGCAAUCUGCCCUUCACUCUGGGACAAGCCCUGGAAACGGGGUCUAAUACCGGAUACGACCACCGACCGCAUGGUCUGGUGGUGGAAAGCUCCGGCGGUGAAGGAUGAGCCCGCGGCCUAUCAGCUUGUUGGUGGGGUGAUGGCCUACCAAGGCGACGACGGGUAGCCGGCCUGAGAGGGCGACCGGCCACACUGGGACUGAGACACGGCCCAGACUCCUACGGGAGGCAGCAGUGGGGAAUAUUGCACAAUGGGCGAAAGCCUGAUGCAGCGACGCCGCGUGAGGGAUGACGGCCUUCGGGUUGUAAACCUCUUUCAGCA
Molecule: ribosomal RNA, 430 nt
Filed under: Streptomyces caniferus
Lineage: Bacteria; Bacillati; Actinomycetota; Actinomycetes; Kitasatosporales; Streptomycetaceae
Description: bacterial SSU rRNA
Rfam family: Bacterial small subunit ribosomal RNA
Source: RNAcentral